GGGCUGCCUCUUCCAGCACAUAUACUAAAAUUGGAAUCAUACUGAGAAGAUUAGCAUGGCUCCUGAACAAGGAAGCUCAUCUUGCAUCCCAGAAGAGGCAGUUCUUA
This is a small nuclear RNA of Dromiciops gliroides (monito del monte), 107 nucleotides long. The record is from RefSeq and is a predicted model, not a curated record. Lineage: Eukaryota; Metazoa; Chordata; Mammalia; Microbiotheria; Microbiotheriidae.